GCCCCGCUUGCGGGGUGGAUUAGUGGCGAACGGGUGAGUAAUACGUGAGCAACGUGCCCAGAACUCUGGAAUAACUUCGGGAAACCGUGGCUAAUACUGGAUAUGUGCCGGGGAGGCAUCUCCUCCGGUUGGAAAGAUUUAUCGGUUCUGGAUCGGCUCACGGCCUAUCAGCUUGUUGGUGAGGUAAUGGCUCACCAAGGCGACGACGGGUAGCCGGCCUGAGAGGGUGACCGGCCACACUGGGACUGAGACACGGCCCAGACUCCUACGGGAGGCAGCAGUGGGGAAUAUUGCACAAUGGGCGCAAGCCUGAUGCAGCAACGCCGCGUGAGGGAUGACGGCCUUCGGGUUGUAAACCUCUUUUAGUAGGGAAGAAGCGAAAGUGACGGUACCUGCAGAAAAAGCACCGGCUAACUACGUGCCAGCAGCCGCGGUAAUACGUAGGGUGCAAGCGUUGUCCGGAAUUAUUGGGCGUAAAGAGCUCGUAGGCGGUUUGUCGCGUCUGCUGUGAAAGCCCGAGGCUCAACCUCGGGUCUGCAGUGGGUACGGGCAGACUAGAGUGCGGUAGGGGAGAUUGGAAUUCCUGGUGUAGCGGUGGAAUGCGCAGAUAUCAGGAGGAACACCGAUGGCGAAGGCAGAUCUCUGGGCCGUUACUGACGCUGAGGAGCGAAAGCAUGGGGAGCGAACAGGAUUAGAUACCCUGGUAGUCCAUGCCGUAAACGUUGGGCGCUAGAUGUGGGGACCAUUCCACGGUUUCCGUGUCGUAGCUAACGCAUUAAGCGCCCCGCCUGGGGAGUACGGCCGCAAGGCUAAAACUCAAAGGAAUUGACGGGGGCCCGCACAAGCGGCGGAGCAUGCGGAUUAAUUCGAUGCAACGCGAAGAACCUUACCAAGGCUUGACAUAUACCGGACAUGGCCAGAGAUGGUCACUCCCUUUGGGUCGGUAUACAGGUGGUGCAUGGUUGUCGUCAGCUCGUGUCGUGAGAUGUUCGGUUAAUUCCGGCAACAAGCGCAACCCUCGU
This 1022-nucleotide ribosomal RNA is filed under the name Gulosibacter sp. RNAcentral describes it as "bacterial SSU rRNA". It matches the Rfam family "Bacterial small subunit ribosomal RNA", at positions 73 to 1108 of the family's 1533-position model. The record is from RNAcentral. Lineage: Bacteria; Bacillati; Actinomycetota; Actinomycetes; Micrococcales; Microbacteriaceae.